UGGGGAAUAUUGGACAAUGGGCGAAAGCCUGAUCCAGCCAUGCCGCGUGAGUGACGAAGGCCUUAGGGUUGUAAAACUCUUUCGUCGGGGACGAUAAUGACGGUACCCGAAGAAGAAGCUCCGACUAACUUCGUGCCAGCAGCCGCGGUAAUACGAAGGGAGCUAGCGUUGUUCGGAAUCACUGGGCGUAAAGCGCACGUAGGCGGAUAGUUAAGUCAGGGGUGAAAUCCUGGGGCUCAACCCCAGAACUGCCUUUGAUACUGGCUGUCUCGAGGUCGAGAGAGGUUGGUGGAAUUCCUAGUGUAGAGGUGAAAUUCGUAGAUAUUAGGAAGAACACCAGUGGCGAAGGCGGCCAACUGGCUCGAUACUGACGCUGAGGUGCGAAAGCGUGGGGAGCAAACAGGAUUAGAUACCCCCGUAGUCCCUGAGCGGGCUGGCAAGGCGCAU
Molecule: ribosomal RNA, 447 nt
Filed under: uncultured bacterium
Lineage: Bacteria
Description: bacterial SSU rRNA
Rfam family: Bacterial small subunit ribosomal RNA
Source: RNAcentral